Molecule: ribosomal RNA, 497 nt
Filed under: uncultured bacterium
Lineage: Bacteria
Description: partial 16S ribosomal RNA
Rfam family: Bacterial small subunit ribosomal RNA
Source: RNAcentral
GACGAACGCUGGCGGCGUGCCUAAUACAUGCAAGUUGAGCGCUGAAGGUUGGUACUUGUACCAACUGGAUGAGCAGCGAACGGGUGAGUAACGCGUGGGGAAUCUGCCUUUGAGCGGGGGACAACAUUUGGAAACGAAUGCUAAUACCGCAUAAAAACUUUAAACACAAGUUUUAAGUUUGAAAGAUGCAAUUGCAUCACUCAAAGAUGAUCCCGCGUUGUAUUAGCUAGUUGGUGAGGUAAAGGCUCACCAAGGCGAUGAUACAUAGCCGACCUGAGAGGGUGAUCGGCCACAUUGGGACUGAGACACGGCCCAAACUCCUACGGGAGGCAGCAGUAGGGAAUCUUCGGCAAUGGACGAAAGUCUGACCGAGCAACGCCGCGUGAGUGAAGAAGGUUUUCGGAUCGCAAAACUCUGUUGGUAGAGAAGAACGUUGGUGAGAGUGGAAAGCUCAUCAAGUGACGGUAACUACCCAGAAAGGGACGGCUAACUACGUG